AUCAUUCUGCUGCGACUGUCUUUCCCUCCUUGCCAGCUUCUCCAUAUGACGUAUCUUAUACUGAGGAGAAGGUGGAACAGUCUUGAGAUUGGACAUUGUUACACAGUGAUUUAUGUUGCUACUCCUUAUACGUGCCAUGAGGCAAGCAUUUAUAUCUGAGGACGCUCCUGAGCCAGGUUUCCAUUGUAUCUGCACUUGCAAUACCAAGGCCAGGACACGCAUGCACUGAAGGGUCCACGACUGACUGGCUGACAAUACAGUAAGUUGCAGCCCUGCAUACACACAGGAAAGAAAAGUGCCUUGAUAGUUACUAAUACUUGGAAGUCAAAUUUUCUAAAUAAAUUGUA
Molecule: long non-coding RNA, 347 nt
Organism: Pseudophryne corroboree (corroboree frog)
Lineage: Eukaryota; Metazoa; Chordata; Amphibia; Anura; Myobatrachidae
Exons: 3
Source: RefSeq, a predicted model, not a curated record